This 329-nucleotide ribosomal RNA is filed under the name uncultured eukaryote. Its description in RNAcentral is "partial 18S ribosomal RNA". It matches the Rfam family "Eukaryotic small subunit ribosomal RNA", at positions 1470 to 1796 of the family's 1831-position model. The record is from RNAcentral.
CCCUUAGAUGUUCUGGGCCGCACGCGCGCUACACUGAUGCAUUCAACGAGUCUAAAACCUGCUCUGAUAGGGGUGGGUAAUCUUUUGAAUGUGCAUCGUGAUUGGGAUAGAUGAUUGCAAUUUUUCAUCUUCAACGAGGAAUGCCUAGUAAACGCAAGUCAUCAGCUUGCAUUGAUUACGUCCCUGCCCUUUGUACACACCGCCCGUCGCUCCUACCGAUUGAAUGAUCCGAUGAAUAUCAUGGAUUGAGGAUGCAAGUAGGUUAGCCUAUCUCCAUCUUCGAGAAGUGAAGUAAAUCUUAUCAUUUAGAGGAAGGAGAAGUCGUAACA